AGCUGGAGGAAGGGGGGUGCAGCUUUAGCUCAGCUCUUAACAGUGCAAUGUCUAGUGCCUCUAUAGUUCUCUUGGACAUAGAUGGCUGCUUUCAAAGAAGAAAUAAGUGGAAAGUGAUGGAGUUUCUAUGCUCCAGCUCUCUUUGCCUGCUGCCAUCCACGUAAGAUGUGACUUGCUCCUCUUUGCCUUCUGCCGUAAUUGUGAGCCCCCCUCAGCCAUGUGGAACGAUGGAAAACAGAACAAGCCAUGGAGGCCCCAGGGAUCAGGCAGGGCCAAGAGGAUCUGGUGGCGGAAGGGGGAGCACAUCAACAGGACCUUACAAGGCAACUUGCAUGGAUGCUCUGAAGCAACUUUGAGGUCUCCUUGAUGAGGAAAGUUGGCUCAACCUGCUGUAGAGUAGGCCCACAGCCAAGCCAUUGAGAGACAAGCCCAUGGGAGACAAA
Molecule: long non-coding RNA, 443 nt
Filed under: Pongo abelii (Sumatran orangutan)
Lineage: Eukaryota; Metazoa; Chordata; Mammalia; Primates; Hominidae
Description: lincRNA
Source: RNAcentral